UACGUAGGUGGCAAGCGUUGUCCGGAUUUACUGGGUGUAAAGGGCGUGCAGCCGGAGAGACAAGUCAGAUGUGAAAUCCACGGGCUCAACCCGUGGACUGCAUUUGAAACUGUUUCCCUUGAGUGUCGGAGAGGUAAUCGGAAUUCCUUGUGUAGCGGUGAAAUGCGUAGAUAUAAGGAAGAACACCAGUGGCGAAGGCGGAUUACUGGACGAUAACUGACGGUGAGGCGCGAAAGCGUGGGGAGCAAACAGG
This 253-nucleotide ribosomal RNA is filed under the name uncultured bacterium. Its description in RNAcentral is "partial 16S ribosomal RNA". It matches the Rfam family "Bacterial small subunit ribosomal RNA", at positions 524 to 776 of the family's 1533-position model. The record is from RNAcentral.